Mesocricetus auratus (golden hamster) is the source of this 1170-nucleotide long non-coding RNA. RefSeq lists it as uncharacterized. The record is from RefSeq and is a predicted model, not a curated record. The transcript is spliced from 3 exons. NCBI's taxonomy places the organism in Eukaryota, Metazoa, Chordata, Mammalia, Rodentia, Cricetidae.
UCCUCAUCUUCUUAUUUAGAUUCAGGGCUCUCUCAGGUGCCCUGGCCUUCCAUCCUGACGAUAUUGAAGGCCAUGGAGACAGAGUCACCAGGCCAGUAAGGACUGGUCAUUCGAUGGCCUCAAGUCCAUAUGUGUGUUUAUUAUGAUUAAUGUUGACCGUCAACUUGAUGCAACCUGAAAUGACACGGGAAGGAGGUGACUGCUGAGACCAGGUUGGCCUACAGGCAUGUGUGAGGAUGACUGUCUUGACGGAUGUGGGGAGACUCAUCCUGAACUCUACGGUAGCCACAGUUUUUCUCUACCCAGACCAUCGUUACCGUCAUAAAAAAAUUCAACACGGGUCACACCUGGAACGUAUCUCGAGGGAAAAUGUUCUACCCCAGGUCAUCAAGCCGUUCAGCUGCUUGCAGAACGAACAGCAUUAGAGUACGGAAAGCAAGUGCUCGCUACACGGGCUCAGAUGUGUCCGCUUGCCCGUAAAAUCAUCACCCCGCUGAUCUAACCAUGCUCAUCUCGCGCUAUUGAAGGGUGUAUUAUCAGUUUAGACAGCCCUAGAAGGGAGAGUGUGAAGCCAUCUCAGCUAAUUUGAUUUGCUUAUUUCCUCUCAGACACUCUCCCUAUUUCCCCGAUUAUUAUUACUUCCUCAUAGUGGAAACUAGGAAGCGCUAUAUUCUGCUUUUCCAAAUUACUCUUAAUUUAUGAUUCCAUGUGCGUCUGCAUAGCUUUCGAACCUGCCACUUUAUAGCUCUACUUUAUGAAAUUAAUUUUACCAGGCACAUUCCUGUGGACCACAUUCUUACAGCUCUGGAAUAAACUUGAGGUAGGCCGUAUUUCACGCAGCCGUCUCCUAUUCUCAGAUAUUUGGUUUUCCCCUGCUGGGUGUUUGCUUUUGACAUCACAAAUUGCAUUACUAUAAAUAUUUUUAAAGUAAAUAAUUUCUGAAACUGCUUAUUUCCUUCCAGAAUGUUCCAAGGAGAAUUACUGUGAUAAAUCAUAACUGGUAUUUUUUUCAUGGCUUGUCACACACAUUUUCAAGAAAACCUCGAGCUGAUACUUUUUUGUCAUUCUCAGAUCCAACAGCAUUUUGUAAUUCAUAUUUGCUAUAUGUGUAUAGUGACAUCUGAAUGUUGAUAAAAUUUAGACUCACUAAAUAAACUGUUGGGAUAUGAA